CCACACAGGAACAUCUCAGCCCUGAAGCGAGACCUGGACGCCCGAGCCAAGAAUGAGUGCUACCGAGCCACAUUCCGGCUGCCCAGGGAUGAGCGGCUAGAUGGCCACACAAGCUGCACCCUGUGGACGCCGUUCAACAAGCUGCACAUCCCCGGCCAGAUGUUCAUCUCCAACAACUACAUCUGCUUCGCCAGCAAGGAGGAGGACGCUUGCCACCUCAUCAUACCCCUGAGGGAGGUGACCAUUGUCGAAAAAGCUGACAGCUCCAGCGUGCUGCCCAGCCCCCUGUCCAUCAGCACCAAAAGCAAAAUGACAUUCCUGUUUGCCAACCUGAAAGACCGUGAUUUCUUGGUUCAGAGGAUCUCUGACUUUCUCCAGAAAACACCAUCCAAGCAGCCAGGCAGUAUCGGGAGCAGGAAAGCCAGUGUUGUGGACCCUAGCACAGAGUUCUUUUGGGGACGUACCCUGGAGUGGAAUUGCUGGAUUGUAUAGCAAUUCUAUUUUUAAUAUUUCGAGGAACCUCUGUGCUAUGCUCUAUGCACCAACUGUGCACCACAGUUGGGGGCCAGACCACCAACUGUGGCAUGACUCUGUGCAGACACAGAGCCAGUAGCUG
This 616-nucleotide small RNA is filed under the name Pongo abelii (Sumatran orangutan). RNAcentral describes it as "processed transcript". Lineage: Eukaryota; Metazoa; Chordata; Mammalia; Primates; Hominidae. The record is from RNAcentral.